This 246-nucleotide small RNA is filed under the name Saccharibacillus sacchari DSM 19268. Its description in RNAcentral is "BsrG". It matches the Rfam family "BsrG". From Rfam's summary of the family: bsrE, bsrG and bsrH pair through intermolecular interactions with antisense sRNAs. SR4 interaction with the 3'UTR of bsrG RNA promotes bsrG degradation and inhibits its translation. Lineage: Bacteria; Bacillati; Bacillota; Bacilli; Caryophanales; Paenibacillaceae. The record is from Rfam by way of RNAcentral.
GCAAUAGAAAGGCUUAUAUGGGCGGUCGGCUAAUCUCCCGGAAGGGAGGUGAUGCUACGUGGAAGUAUAUCAAACUCUGAUGUUGAUGAUUUCGUUCGCAACGUUGGUGAUUCUGAUUCUUUCUUUCCACAAAAAGAAAUAGACCGCCCUCUGCAAGGGUAGCGGUCUAUUCAUGUGGCCCUAUUCCGAAAGCCAACCGCCCUUAAAAGCGGCUAUUGCAUCGGGAGUCGUGUUAGCGCACGGCUC